This is a small nuclear RNA of 151 nucleotides. Its record names the gene U1. It matches the Rfam family "U1 spliceosomal RNA". Rfam says of the family: U1 is a small nuclear RNA (snRNA) component of the spliceosome (involved in pre-mRNA splicing). The record is from Ensembl.
UUGCUUACCUGGCAGGGGAGGUUUCAUGCUCAAGUAUGUGUUCCUCCCAGGCUGAGGCUCUACCACUGAACUUCAGUAGAGUCGCCUCCUUCAAACUCCCCAAAUGUGGGAAUCAGAAAAACUUUAUUUAUCCCGGAGGAAAUUGUUUGUG